This 336-nucleotide small RNA is filed under the name Histoplasma capsulatum. RNAcentral's name for it is "hypothetical RNA". Lineage: Eukaryota; Fungi; Ascomycota; Eurotiomycetes; Onygenales; Ajellomycetaceae. RNAcentral also lists the same sequence under 1 other name. The record is from RNAcentral.
AGUUUGAAACAAGUGGUAUUUUUUAUUUUCCCGACGAUUUCGUCCCCCUGGCAAAUAAUAUCGAGUGACAAUCAAAAGUGUGUGGCCAGCAAGAAAGUGAGAGGUUAGGGCGCCCAGGAGCAACAUACGGCUGGCUGGCAUGCUUGAUCUUAUCCUCCCAGGCCGCUCCGGGCAGCACAUAAGUAUUUUGUGUUAAGAGGGAGCUCGAAUAGCUUGACUUCAAGAAGUUGGAAACGCAUAAACUAUUCCCACUCGAUAUCUCCGCAAUUUCACUCUCCACGGAAAAUUCGGAAGAUUCCAUUGAGAAACAGUGAUCUCAGCCACAAAAUGUGCUCC